CCUUAACCUGGCCUUGACAUACUAAGAACUUUCCAGAGAUGGAUUGGUGCCUUCGGGAACUUAGAUACAGGUGCUGCAUGGCUGUCGUCAGCUCGUGUCGUGAGAUGUUGGGUUAAGUCCCGCAACGAGCGCAACCUUUUCCUUAUUGCCAGCGGGUUAAGCCGGGAACUUUAAGGAUACUGCCAGUGACAAACUGGAGGAAGGCGGGGACGACGUCAAGUCAUCAUGGCCCUUACGGCCAGGGCUACACACGUGCUACAAUGGUCGGUACAAAGGGUUGCUACCUCGCGAGAGGAUGCUAAUCUCAAAAAGCCGAUCGUAGUCCGGAUCGCAGUCUGCAACUCGACUGCGUGAAGUCGGAAUCGCUAGUAAUCGCGGAUCAGAAUGCCGCGGUGAAUACGUUCCCGGGCCUUGUACACACCGCCCGUCACACCAUGGGAGUUUGUUGCACCAGAAGUAGGUAGUCUAACCGCAAGGAGGACGCUUACCACGGUGUGGCCGAUGACUGGGGUGAAGUCGUAACAAGGUAGGCGUAGAUGA
Molecule: ribosomal RNA, 540 nt
Filed under: uncultured bacterium
Lineage: Bacteria
Description: bacterial SSU rRNA
Rfam family: Bacterial small subunit ribosomal RNA
Source: RNAcentral